UCCGGCUUAUCACCGGCGGUUUCCUUAGAGUGCUCAACUGAAUGUAGCAACUAAUGGCAAGGGUUGCGCUCGUUGCGGGACUUGACCCAACACCUCACAACACGAGCUGACGACAGCCAUGCAGCACCUGUCUCCACGUCCCCGAAGGGAACCCCGGCUUUCACCGAGUGGCGUGGGAUGUCAAACCUAGGUAAGGUUUUUCGCGUAGCAUCGAAUUAAACCACAUGCUCCACCGCUUGUGCGGGCCCCCGUCAAUUCCUUUGAGUUUUAAUCUUGCGACCGUAAUUCCCAGGCGGAAUACUUAAUGCGUUAGCUGCGACACCGAAGCAAUUAGGAACUCCGACAUCUAGUAUUCAUCGUUUAGGGCGUGGACUAC
This 376-nucleotide unclassified non-coding RNA is filed under the name uncultured delta proteobacterium. RNAcentral describes it as "contains 16S-23S intergenic spacer region". Lineage: Bacteria; Deltaproteobacteria. The record is from RNAcentral.